GAGUUUGAUCAUGGCUCAGAUUGAACGCUGGCGGCAUGCCUUACACAUGCAAGUCGAACGGCAGCACGGGAGCAAUCCUGGUGGCGAGUGGCGAACGGGUGAGUAAUAUAUCGGAACGUGCCCAGUCGUGGGGGAUAACGUAGCGAAAGUUACGCUAAUACCGCAUACGAUCUACGGAUGAAAGCGGGGGACUCGCAAGAGCCUCGCGCGAUUGGAGCGGCCGAUAUCAGAUUAUGCUGUUGGUGAGGUAAAAGCUCACCAAGCCUGCGAUCUGUAGCUGGUCUG
This 285-nucleotide ribosomal RNA is filed under the name uncultured bacterium. Its description in RNAcentral is "partial 16S ribosomal RNA". It matches the Rfam family "Bacterial small subunit ribosomal RNA", at positions 9 to 294 of the family's 1533-position model. The record is from RNAcentral.